AUGUUUUUAUACAAAACAAAAACAAAAGAAUCGCAGAUACUGUGGAGGAGGAUGCGCCAGGGCAGUUGUUUAGUUUUCUUCUCCUUUCAUGGGCUUGCCUUUCUUGACACACGACUUACCAAAUGGCCAAAAGAUCAAUGCGAAGAUCCCAUCAGAUAUCCACUGGUUAAAAUACGGACGCCUUUGUUAGACUUGAUGAUUUGUUCAAAUGAAGCCGAGCGGAAAGAGGAGAUUAGUUUUUAUUUUAGACAGAGAAAUGAGAGAUUAGUUCAACAGAUUGUGCUGCUUUUUUGGAUACUAAUAGAUUAUCUAGUGCGUGGACCCAAGCAGAAUCUAGCCGUUUAG
This 345-nucleotide ribosomal RNA is filed under the name Triticum aestivum (bread wheat). RNAcentral's name for it is "partial small subunit ribosomal RNA". Lineage: Eukaryota; Viridiplantae; Streptophyta; Magnoliopsida; Poales; Poaceae. The record is from RNAcentral.